RNAcentral lists this ribosomal RNA (254 nucleotides) under uncultured bacterium. RNAcentral describes it as "partial 16S ribosomal RNA". It matches the Rfam family "Bacterial small subunit ribosomal RNA", at positions 524 to 776 of the family's 1533-position model. The record is from RNAcentral.
UACGUAGGGGGCAAGCGUUGUCCGGAUUUAUUGGGCGUAAAGAGCUCGUAGGCGGUUUGGUAAGUCUGGUGUGAAAUCUCCACGCUCAACGUGGAGGGGCCACCCGAUACUACCAUGACUGGAGUCCGGUAGAGGAGUGUGGAAUUCCCGGUGUAGCGGUGAAAUGCGCAGAUAUCGGGAGGAACACCCGUAGCGAAGGCGGCACUCUGGGCCGGUACUGACGCUGAGGUGCGAAAGCGUAGGGAGCAAACAGG